This is a non-coding RNA of Triticum aestivum (bread wheat), 135 nucleotides long. The record is from Rfam. NCBI's taxonomy places the organism in Eukaryota, Viridiplantae, Streptophyta, Magnoliopsida, Poales, Poaceae.
UAUGUACUCCCUCCGUCCUAAAAUACUAGUCGUCAAAAUGGACAAAAAGGAAUGUAUCUAGAACUAAAAUACAUCUAGAUACAUCCCCUUUUAUUCAUUUUGAUGACAAGUAUUUCUGGAUGGAGGGAGUACUAC